CCUACGGGAGGCAGCAGCGAGGAAUAUUGGACAAUGGGCGAAAGCCUGAUCCAGUCAUGCCGCGUGUGUGAAGAAGGUCUUCGGAUUGUAAAGCACUUUAAGUUGGGAGGAAGGGCAGUAAGUUAAUACCUUGCUGUUUUGACGUUACCGACAGAAUAAGCACCGGCUAACUCUGUGCCAGCAGCCGCGGUAAU
RNAcentral lists this ribosomal RNA (194 nucleotides) under uncultured bacterium. RNAcentral's name for it is "partial 16S ribosomal RNA". It matches the Rfam family "Bacterial small subunit ribosomal RNA", at positions 338 to 524 of the family's 1533-position model. The record is from RNAcentral.